This 330-nucleotide ribosomal RNA is filed under the name uncultured bacterium. Its description in RNAcentral is "bacterial SSU rRNA". It matches the Rfam family "Bacterial small subunit ribosomal RNA", at positions 568 to 898 of the family's 1533-position model. The record is from RNAcentral.
CGCAUAGGCGGUUAGGGAAGUGUGAUGUGAAAGCCCCGGGCUUAACCUGGGAAGUGCAUCGCGGACUUUCUAACUGGAGUAUAUGAGAGGGUGGCGGAAUUUCCGGUGUAGCGGUGAAAUGCGUAGAGAUCGGAAGGAACGUCAAUGGCGAAGGCAGCCACCUGGCAUAAUACUGACGCUGAGGCGCGAGAGCGUGGGGAGCGAACAGGAUUAGAUACCCUGGUAGUCCACGCUGUAAACGAUGAGGACUAAAUGUUGGUAGGGGAACCUAUCAGUAUUGAAGCUAACGCGAUAAGUCUUCCGCCUGGGAAGUACGGCCGCAAGGUUGAA